This 110-nucleotide non-coding RNA is filed under the name Mycobacterium sp. RNAcentral describes it as "TPP sequence". It matches the Rfam family "TPP riboswitch aptamer (THI element)". From Rfam's summary of the family: Vitamin B(1) in its active form thiamin pyrophosphate (TPP) is an essential coenzyme that is synthesised by coupling of pyrimidine and thiazole moieties in bacteria. The previously detected thiamin-regulatory element, thi box was extended, resulting in a new, highly conserved RNA secondary structure, the THI element, which is widely distributed in eubacteria and also occurs in some archaea. Lineage: Bacteria; Bacillati; Actinomycetota; Actinomycetes; Mycobacteriales; Mycobacteriaceae. The record is from RNAcentral.
GAUAACCCACGCGGGAGUGCACACCGAGUGCGCUGAGAGGACGGCUGGGGCCGUCGACCGUAUGAACCUGACCGGGUAAUGCCGGCGUAGGGAGUGAACUGAUGACCGAC